UAUAGUACGAAAAUAGGACAUAAAAAAAGGAACGGGGCGUGUACGAAAUAGAGAAGCGCCAUUAGAAGACAGAGAUAAAAAGUGCUGCUGUUCUUGUUGCUCUUUCUCUGCGCGAAUAGAAUGCGCACGAGCUUUUGCUGACAAAAAUCGUUUCCCGACCUGUUCUGAAGAAUAUCAUGUUUCUUUCUUUUAAGUUUAAUGCCCGAUGAAAAUUAGUUAUUUUAAUCUGUGGAUCUAUACUGAAAAAUAUAAUUUAAGAUAAAUAUAGAUUUCGUAAUUAUUUAGAGAAAUUUUAUAAUUAUCAUCGUGAUACAUGAGAAACUUCUUUCGACUUUUAAAGCGUUUUCUGAUUGAAAGUUCGAUUUAUUGAGACGUGUUACGUAUUUAUAUAGGAAUAAGUAAAGGAUUGGAUCCCAAGACUGGAGAAAGAUGAUUACCAUAACACGUUACGUGAUUUUUCACUUCCUACUACCAUUCACGAUUUUAUACUGCAUCUAUGCUCGAGUGAUACGCUGAUUUCUAUUAUGUACACGCUAAAUUUAAACAGACUUUUGUAUAGUGGUGGUUCCAGAUUUUAUUUUUAUUAAAAAGGAGAAAGUAUUAUGAAUUUAAAUAAUAUCAUAUUUCGAGUAAAUCAUAUGUAUAUUUUUUUAGAAAUAGCAUUUCGUAACUCAUUAAUCAAGUUGAGAUACGUAUAUUUGUUGACCUUGUUAAAAGAUAAAAUACGAAUACUUCGUUUUAUCGAUUGUAUGUAAUCAAUAGUAUAAGUAGAAAUUUUGCGUUCUAAAUUGGAUACUUUAUACGGGUAGACAACCAUUGCGAUUGUGUUGUAUAAUAAUAUGUACCUUCAUUUUGGUAAUUUUUACAAGAUAUUGUUACACAAUUUUGUAAAAGAAUUAACAUUAGCUAUUCUCUGACUGUAGAUAUAUUUUAUUUAUGGAAUAUUCGUUAUGUAUCGCAACCUUGUUUGAUUAAUGAAACCAUGUUUUUAAAACAAUGGAUAUUAUGAGAAGUUUGUUAUUCAAACAAACAUCAAGGAAGCAUGUUAUUUUACACUUGCUAUAUGUACCAUUCAUUGUAUAUACGAUAUAAAGUACAGAUUCUGAAACUGGUAGAGUUAGGUUCCCAAUACAAGAACAGCAAUAUCGGCAAGAACAGCAUAUAUUUUUUGUAUCAUAAACAAUUUUAGAUUUCAAAUAAUGAGAUUCUCAUGUCUCGUUUGUGCUGUAAACGCGGUGUAGGUAACCUGUGUAAUAUUAGAGAGGAGAAAUUCUCGGGUAAAAUGAUGUUUUGACGAAGUACCUCUAUCCUAUUAGCGCUUUGUGACGAUUACUGAGUAGUUCCCUUGACCGUCGCAAGAGACAUCGUUGUUAAAAGGAAGUUGUUAAAAAGUGUAAUACAGAUUUUACUGAUGGUAUUAUAGCAAAAAAUCAGAGAAACUUGGAUUUUCGGUAAUUGUAUAUAAAGGGAUACAUUUCAUCGAUUUUAAUGAAAUUUAAAUAUGUAUCAGGGUGAAGAUUUUAUAUAUAAUAUGUAACCGCCGCUCAGUCAUAGUUUUCGAGAUAUUGGUGAAAAACUGUUGCUAUUAGACAUUGAAUUUUGUCUGUACGUGCACAUCAAUGGCACAUACACAUCACGGCGCGACAGCCAGCAAACGAUCUAUAACGGGUGAAUUUGUCGAAAAUGUGUUUAGUUUUUUAGUUUCACAAUGUAUUUAAAUUUGAUCAAAAUCGCUGAGCUCUAUCCUUCUAUGCACAGUUAUCAGAUUUUUUACUUUGACGCAAUCUACAGGUUGUCAGAGAACUAUCAGGAAAUAGUCACAAAUCGCCUGAGGGGUGUUCGAACACCUUUAUACUAUACUAUGACUGGAAGUGCCCCUAUCAUGGGACUUUCAGAAUCUAUAUAUACGAUUGUGCUUUAUAUGUACGCUAUACUAAGCUAUAUACACUUACGUAACGGUGUCAGAGGCAUGCAUAGGUUAUGACGUAUUGGCAAUAGCGAAUAGAGGCAACCAGCCCCUGUGCUAUAAGGUCGAUUUCACACGAUGAUACGUGUAUGAAAUGUGGAUAUGCUAUAGUAUAUCUAACGAGGCGAGACAGUCGACUUUCGAAUGUCACUAGUCGGCAGCCAAUAGUUGCAACCGCAGUAAUCAAAUUUAGUUCACAUUCAUUGUCCCGUCACGUUGGAUAGACUACACUAUUUGGUGGUACUGAUUUCGUGCAUCUUGAGAAACUUGAUCGCUGACGAUACUUUCACUCAAGAAUAAACGAUACUGUAUAUUUUAUUCCUGGAAAUAUAUCUCAUGCGUAUAUUGCGGUACGUAUUUUGCGGUACACGUAUCGUCGCGUGAAACCGGCUUAACGCUCUUAAUAUGGGGAAGAAGAUUCAGAUUCACACACACACACACACAAUGAGCCGCUGCAACGCGCAUGUGUACAGAAACACGAGGUAGACGCGGAGAGCAAAUCGUGCUUGAGUAUUGGCAUCGAGACGUUGUACGAAGUAGGAAAGCGAGAGUAAAGGAAAUGUGAAAAAGGCUAUUAAAUAAUGACUGUUCCAUACAGUCAAGAACUUAAGUUGUCCUGGAUUGAAGUCACCACGUGGGGGUUUAAGCAGAGGGGUUUACAUUAUAGACUUUUUUAUACAUUAUGGUAGUUCUUGAUACGUAAAAUCCAAAAAUGUAAGUCAUUAGGAGUCUAGCGGUUCAAAAAUUACAUAGGGAGAAAAAUUUUGAAUCGGAAUCUUCUACUUGCCAAGCGGGUAUUUUACUGAUUGAGCUAUCCAGAAAAGUACGUGUCCGGUUGAGAAUUAAACUAUUGCAAGUUGCUGUCGAAAGUAUUUCUUCAGCGUUUGAGAGUAACUGUUUCAGAGGGAUGAGGUAGCUUACUCUCGAAUAGACCAUGAUCGAAGAGCUACUGGCACAAUUCGAAACAAUUUCAUAUUUUAAAAGUAGUAUAUCACGACAAUUCAUAACAUGAGAAACCAGCUCUCGCAAUAAACAUCACAAGAUCGUCACACAUGAAGGCAUCGGUGGUUAAUUGUAAAUAAAAGGAACUGGUUCAAUUAUACACUGAACUUCUGUUGCGUUCAUUUGCACAAAAUUGCAAAACAUCUUGGUAUCAUCUUCAAUUCGAAAAUCCCUUCUAAAUAAUGAACAUUACAGAUAGUAAGCUUUCGGUGAGUUUUUCUAGUAAGUUCGAGGGUAUUAAUUUUCCAACUUGCUUUCAGAUAGACAGACAAUUUAAGAGUACUCUCGAGAACAACUAUCGGACGAAAUUCCCAAAUCGACACGUACCUUAAUAUUGUUUCUUUUUUAUAGAAAUGAUUUUUCCGUGAAAUUUGUUACAACUGACGCAUAAUCCUUACCUGACAUCUAUGACAUACAGGUUAGGUUCAACUAACGAUUGACAGAUGGGAUGCGGCCUUGUAUUAUUGGCUAAGUUUAUACGAAAAAAUCUUUUUUAUUUUUAUUUUAUUAUUUUCUUACUGUAAGAUUUUUGUGUCUUCACGAAAGUAUUAUAUUAACCAGAAUAGCAUUAUAUUGUGAUAAAUAAUUUUUAUUUAAAUAGCAAACAAUAAAAAUGGAAACGAUAAUAGACAAAAUUCAAUAAUUUUAAACGGUAUCGACAUAUACGUAAUUCGGAUUACGUCACAUUAAAUAAUACAUUAUUUAUCAAUAUAUAAGAAAUAAACACAGUGCUUCAUAUUUAAUAAAAAUAGCUUCAGUAAUUAUACCAACAGUAAGCUGAAGAAUAAAUACUUAAUGUGUUGCUUCUUUUAAAGAAACUCAACUUUGUUAAACAUUAUUUAGAUUUUUAAAAGAUUUUCUAAUAUUAAAAAGAAAUGUUACUAAAUUCUAUACUGAAUAAAUAAAAUAUUAAAGAGAAAUGUUAUUUUUUUUACAAUUUUCAAUUUUACAAUUCCAUUAAGCUUUAUAUCUAAUCUAAAUUGGAAGAAACAACUUCAUGAAUACAUCAUGGAGAUCCUAAUCGACGAAUAGGUCACAAUAUUGUUUUUUUACAAGGAAUUAAUAUUUAAACGUCAAUGCGGAACUGAAUUAUAUAUUUCUUAGUAUACGACUGGAUAUAUCGUUAUAAAAGAAAAAUGUUUAUUACAUAAGAAUUCGAUAUUGAUAACGAUCAUAUAACUACUCUUGUAAAAUUCCGCAGCUGAAGAGACUUGAGCAGCAUAGAUAUUAUGUAUUGCACCACAGAUGACGAUGCAAGAUACGUUUCAAUUACAUGAUAAAUGACUGGAAUCCGAGUUCAACUGGGUUCAAAAUAUCGACUACUCUGGUAUUAUAGUCCAGAAAAUUGUCAGUUUCCGAUCCUUCAUAAUAACAGUAAUUAAAUUGACAAAGUGAAGAGCCAUCAAGAUGAACGUGAAUGCACUAUAUACUACCAAAAAGAUAUUUCUCUUAUACAUACAAAUAAUGUAUUGUAUUUAUUGUAUUUGUCUUUCUUGUCUUUCGUCUGCGAGAGGCUUCCGGUUUAUAUAAUAUUCCUUACGAAAUUCAUAUAGCUGCUUUCCUUACGUUUAUUAUAUUUUACAAAUUCAUAACAUAUUCAUCAUUAAGGAUGUAGUAGAAGUAUAAUUAUAAGACAUAAUAUAAGUGAAAUCUUCAAGUAAAGUAUGGUAAAUUUAGCUAUCAUAGUGAUGAAAAACAAAAUAUAUAAAUAAUGAAUAAUUAGCGAAAUAAUUUUGUGUAUGGAAGAUAAGGUAUUGCAUCUUUAAAUAAUUUCUUUCAUAGGAAAAUGAAACGUUACAGAAUUAAUGUGAAAAUAACAAACAUCGUAGUCAUAAAUAACGCGAUUAUUUGAUUCGAAAAAUGAACGAGAUGAAAAAUGAGAUCUUCUGGAAUGACCAGAAAAACAGGUUUGCAGAGAAUGUUUUCGUGCAAGGAUCAAUUUCAGUGAAACAUUUACGCUGGAACACUAUUCUUCUUUCUUCGCGAAAUAUUUAAAUUAUUUCGUACUUCAUUUUCCGUACAAAUUGUUAAAUACAAUGAUGAUUUAAUAAUUCGAGAUCAUUCUAGAGAAUAAACACUCCUAAUACCAAGUGUAUGCUAAAUUGUGCAAAUUGUGCCAGAAGUUGCACUACCACUUUUUUUGUUGCUAGUGUUAGCUGAUAAUUAUACAAUGGUUUUCAAAGAACGAUGAGUUUUUCUAUUCCUAUAUCGACGAAAUGGAAAAUUUCAGAAAUUUAAUUACUUGCCCACAAAUUACAUUCUGUAUUUGUAUGGUUCUACGUGCAUAUAGCACCAUAGAUUUACAGAAAAGUUUAUUUUAUUAAAAAGAAGAAUUGCACUUACGAAAUUCACAGUCUAGAGUAUUGUAAACUCAUUUAAAAAAAAGAAGUGAGUUUAGUUUCUAAUGAAACCGAUCAAUUUUUCGAUCAUUCCUGAAACUGAUUAAGUCUAUUGUGAAUGUGAGUUAUGCUUUUUAGAAUGAGAAUGCAGUUACCCCUUUAAAUAAACUGCUUCGAUCUGUUUUUCAGAGGAUCCGAUUUCUCUUAUCCCAUUAAAAUAUAAGUGAAGUAAAAUUGCACGCAAAAAAUUCUCUAUCUUUUAAAAAAUACACUCCUCGAUCAUCUGAGAAAGUAAUUAUUUCCAAUAUUAUUAGCCGCAUCAGCGCGGUGUCCAGCUUCAGUAUAAUAUCCUCAACGAUAUUAAUUUAACAACUGUUAUAUUAAACAAGUUCUUUCGCGCUUAUUUUAUUGCAUUCCGCUUAACCCUCCAUUUAAUAUUUCUUAAAAUCGAUAAUUUAUAUUUUAAAUAAUUUCUCAGUUCAUUCUCAUUUCAAAUAUAUUAUAUAUUUCUAAUCACUCUUAAUUCACUCAAUAACAAUCUGAAAUCAACAACUUUUACUUAAAAAGGUUUCUCGUUUCAUUUGUAUUAUAAAUCAUAUCAUUCGUCUUCUAUUUUCUCUAAUUCAUUUCUUACGUUAGAAUAGUAUUCCCCUUCAUUUCUGCAUUCCUAUUUAAACAAUUGACACUUCGUGGCCCUAGUUCUCAACUGUUCCUCUUAACUUCAUUUCUUAGAAACAUAUAAUUAAUCAAUCCACAUAUGUCUAAUUGAUAUAAAGAUACAAAUACAUGAUAACAUGAUGAAAAUUCUACCUAGAAAGCAACAAAUAUUUAGUUCUUUUAAGUCCUACUUCCACGCAAUAAUAUCAAAUUCCUUAUAGAUUUUAAACUCAGUUUCUUCGGUUUACGAACUAAUGGACAUAGGACAGUUGAGAACUAGAGCAACGACUUAUCUUACUUUUCAUUAUUUUUAA
Long non-coding RNA from Bombus huntii, 6278 nucleotides. RefSeq lists it as uncharacterized. NCBI's taxonomy places the organism in Eukaryota, Metazoa, Arthropoda, Insecta, Hymenoptera, Apidae. The transcript has 5 exons. The record is from RefSeq and is a predicted model, not a curated record.